GACGAACGCUGGCGGCGUGCUUAACACAUGCAAGUCGAACGGAAAGGCCUCUUUCGGGGGGUACUCGAGUGGCGAACGGGUGAGUAACACGUGAGUAACCUGCCCUUGACUUUGGGAUAACUUCAGGAAACAGGGGCUAAUACCGGAUAGGAGCUCCUGCUGCAUGGUGGGGGUUGGAAAGUUUCGGCGGUUGGGGAUGGACUCGCGGCUUAUCAGCUUGUUGGUGGGGUAGUGGCUUACCAAGGCUUUGACGGGUAGCCGGCCUGGGAGGGUGACCGGCCACAUUGGGACUGAGAUACGGCCCAGACUCCUACGGGAGGCAGCAGUGGGGAAUAUUGCACAAUGGGUGGGAGCCUGAUGCAGCAACGCCGUGUGCGGGAUGACGGCCUUCGGGUUGGAAACCGCUUUCGCUCAUGACGGAGCUUUGUGUGACGGUAGUGGGUAAAGAAGCACCGGCUAACUACGUG
Molecule: ribosomal RNA, 467 nt
Filed under: uncultured bacterium
Lineage: Bacteria
Description: partial 16S ribosomal RNA
Rfam family: Bacterial small subunit ribosomal RNA
Source: RNAcentral